Gallus gallus (chicken) is the source of this 4826-nucleotide long non-coding RNA. NCBI's taxonomy places the organism in Eukaryota, Metazoa, Chordata, Aves, Galliformes, Phasianidae. The record is from Ensembl.
CAUCUGUCACUGUCUUUAUCUUCCCAACAAGAUUUUUGUCAAAAUAAUUGUGAUCGUGCAGACAACAGACCUCAGCUUUCUGCUUGAAUCCAGCACACAGUGACUACACUGGAAGCAUGCAGAAUGGUGAGGAGCAGGAGAAAUGCAGUUUUGUACUACCUCUUCUUUAUAAGUUCACAGGAUGGCCGGCAGGAGCAGCAUCACUCCAGAAUGCUCCAUUGUCCAUGAGGAAGCAUCAUGCCACCCUGAGGUGCAGUGCUGAACUUUUGGGAACCGGCGAGCGUGAAUCAGAACUGCUACUGGUCCUUGAAGAAGAUAUUCCUCAAGGAGGAACAUCAAGUACUGGCCCAGCAGAACCACUGAGAAAACUGCCAAUGGUUGCCUUUAUUGUCUUGACAUUCUGCACUGUGGCGAGUAUUGUGCAUGCUUCACGAUGUGCAUUGUGUCUUGGGCCACCACGUUGUGGGGGCUCACCCCCUACCUGCUCAGUCAUUAGUUCAUGCUGUGAAGGGGUGGAGUGUAGUGGAAUUCUAAGGUCACAGCCUGAACCAAUGGGUGAGCUAUGUGAGUGUGUGGCUGCCUGGAGCAGGGAGGUGGUCUGGAGCCACCCCUUCUGUCUCUGCAAUACUUCCUGUGCAAUCUGAGUCUGCACGGUUCCCCAUUUUUUACUCCUGUAUUUCAUCCUUGAAAAUAAUUGUUCACAAAUAUAUGUACUGCCAAGAAGUGAUGACAUGAAUAAGGAGUGAUUAUGAAGGGAGGAAAGUUUUUCUCUGGUAACAUAGUGCUUAUGAGAGUGAAGCAGCAUGGUCAGAUCUUUGACUUGAAUUCUGAUUGCAACUUUAUACACACCAUUUAAAAAUUCCCAGGUAAUGUAUUCAUGUCUACUGAAAAUGAAGUUACAAAUGUACUAAAAAAGUGAGGACUUUUUUUAGGUGAUCUUGAAACCUGUUCUCAAAUUCCUUUAUUAAAAUGGAAAGCACAGCUGAAUAUUUUUUGCUGUUCACAGUGCUGUGUUUAGAUAACGUAUCAAAAUGCAUGCAAUUAUUUGCAGUAACUGGAGCUAGAACAACACUGUGUCCUCCCUGUGCCCUGGUUUCAGCUCAGACAGUGCUAACAGAGCACUGACAUUUGGCUGUUGCUGAGUGAUGGGUGCAUUCUCAGGGCGGGGUAUGGACAUCUGGCAGGGCAAAGCCAUAGUGGCAGCAGUAGGCAGAUGGUGCGGGGCAGGGGCAAGGCUUCACUGUCAGCUGCUGCUGGGCCACAUGAGGCCCACAGGCCAUGGGUUGGAUAUGACUAGUCUAAGCUGUUUCCUUCUAUGUCCUUUCCUCUGCUUUGUUUUUGAAGUUGUGGCUAUAGAAUAAGCAAAACAUAAAUAACCAGUUAAAAGCUCAGAAGAGAAGGGCAGUCAUAGACAGUACAGAAUACUUCUUGGGUUGUUCCUAGAUAAUACAUUAUUAUGGGCUGUUUGCCAUUUUCAGCCACUUGUGUGUUGCCAUGACCUUUUAAAUACAUGGAAGUAUUCAGGUAGGAAAAGACCAUAGGAGUUGACCUUAUUCAACCUCCUACUAAAAGAGCAGCUACAUUUGAAUAAAACUAGAUUACUAAAGACUUGAAAAAGAAUGCUGGCACCACUCAUUUUUUCCAAAUCCCUGGCUAAAUUUUGAACUGAAUUCCUUUGUCACCUCAGAUACCUAGCUGGAACAAAUUAGUACUUAUACAAGUCUAAUUUGUUCUCCAUUUCUCUGCUGAAAUACUGGCCCCUGUAAGGAAAUAGGCACUGUGGAAAGGAAGGAUGUCUUUAUGGUAAAGUCAGUGAGUUAUGAAAAUAUCAUGGUUUUGUAACUUUGCUAUUGGUAUUCCACAUCAUAACAUCAUGGACAAAAGAGAAGAACUACGUAUCCCAGAGGACCUCACGGUCAGAGAAGGAAGAUACAUCACGGAAGAUACGUCAUCUGGUUGCGCGCGGUCUUUUUCACUUUCGCUUGCUGCCAGGGAGAGGAGUGGGUGUGCUUCCAAGCCGUGCGCCUUCAUCAAACCAUCUAAAGAACCUGAAGGUGCACAAAUCCAUAGGACCCAACAAGAACUAUCCAUGAGUUAUGAGGGAAGUGGCUGAAGAUGCCAAGCUGCUAUUCAUCAUAUUUGAAAGGUCAUGGCAGUCUAGUGAAGUUCCCACCAACUGGAAAAGGGGAAACAUAAUCCCCAUUUUCAAGAAGGAAAAAAAGAAGAUCCAGGGAGCUAGAGGCCAGUCAGUCUCACCACUGUGCCUGGCAAGAUCAUGGAACAGAUCCUCCUGAAGGCUCUACUAAGGCACAUGGGAAAUAAAGACAAGGUGACUCGUGGUAACCAACGUGACUUCACCAAGGAUAAGUCAUGCCUGACAGACAUGGUGGCCUUUUAUGAUGGAGUUACAGCAUCAAUGUAUAAAGGAAAAGUAAAUGAUGUCAUCUACCUGGACUUGUGCAAAGCAUUUGACACUGUCCCACACAACAUCCUGGUCAUCAAAUUGGAAGAAAAUAAAUUUGAUGGAUGGACUACUCACUGAAUAAGGGAUUGGCUGGAUGGUUGCACUCAGAAAGUUGUGGUCAAUAGCUCAGUUUCCAAGCGGAGAUUGAUGAUGAGAUGAGUGGCGUUCCUCAGGGAUUGGUGUUGGGAUUGGUAUUAUAUAAUAUCUUUGUAGGCAACAUGGACAGUUGGAUUGCACCCUCAGCAAGUUUGCAGGUGACAUCAAGCUGAGUUGUAUAGUUAACACGCUAGAGGGAAGGAAUGCCAUUCAGAGGGACCUGGACAGGCUUGAGAGGUGGGCCCAUGCCAACCUCAUGAAGUUCAAAGAGGUGAAGUCCUACACCUGGGUCAAGGCACUCUCAAGCACAGAUACAGGUUGGGUGGAAAAUGGCUUGAGAGCAGCCCUGAAAAGAAGGAUUUGACUGUGUGAUUGAUGAAAGAUUCAACAAGAGCUGGCAAGUGUGCACUUCCAGCCCAGAAGGCCAACUGUAUCCUGGGUUGCAUCAAGAAAAGUAUGACCUGGAAGUCAAAGGAGGUGAUUCUGACGCUCUACUCUGUGGAAAGACCUCACCUAGAGUACUGCAUCUGGUUCUGGAGCUCCCAGCACAAGAAGGACAUGGAGUUCUUUGAGCAGGUUCAGAGGAGGGCCACGAAGAUGAUCAGAGGGCUGGAGCACCUCCUCUACGCUCCAUAGCCUGGAGAAGAGAAGGCUCUGAAGAAGAUUUUGUAGCAGCCUUCCAGUACUUGAAAGGGGACUACAGGAAAGCUGGGGAGGGACUUUUUAGAAGGGCCAGUAGCAUCAGGAAAAGUGGAAAUAGUUUUGAGCUGGAAGGGUGUGGAUUUAGACUAGAUAUUAGGAAGAAAUUAUUUACUGUGAGGGUGGUGAAGUGCUGGAACAGGUUGCCCAGUGAGGUUGUGAAUGCCCUCUCCUUAGAAACAUUCAAGGUCAGGUUGAAUGGGACUUCAAGCAACCUGGUCCAGACAGAGGUGUCCCUGCCUAUAGCAAGUGUGUUGGAACUAGAUGAUACUAAAGGUCCCUUCCAACCCUAACUAUUCUAUGAUUCUAUGAUUAAAGCCUAUGAAUUUUAAACUGGAAUUUGGAAUCCUGCCAUUAAAUAAUCUUAAACAAGAUGGUAUGCUAUUUGUUGAAUCAAUGGAGUUUUAAUGUCAGUAGCAUUCUUCUUGUGAAAUAUCUUUGUUUUGUUGCUCUGAGCAGAAAUCAGUUCAAUCUGAAAUUAAGAUGGGAGGAAGCAAAAACCAAAAAAGAGCAUUCUGGUGUAUCUCUUGAUAAUCUACUGUCAAUUACCACUGGUUUUACAUAAAUUAGUGUGUGAAUUGUUAUGCCAGUGCAAAUGUCACAAAGAUGAAAACCAUCAGUUCUCCUUCAUCCUUUUUGUGAAAUAAUUUGUGACCCUCAAUCUCUCCUCCCAGAGGUGUGACCUAUUUCUCUUGUUACUGCAAGGCAGAUUGUCAGUGCCAGUUUUCCAGAGACAGAAGAGGUUCUAUGCACAGUCAGUGUAAAGGGCUGUGCAAAGGAUCCCCCAUUUAACAGUGUAAACUUGUCAGGAAGAAAAGAAGUGGGUACAGGUAACUUAACACCUGAAUUUUGAGCAAUGACUUGUGUAUCCAAAUUGUAUUGGUAACCCUUUCUAUGCAAUUUCCAGGUGCUUAAGGAUGCCCUCGGUACUGUCAACAUCUUCCUGUGGGGAUGACUAGAGGCUAUGAAGCCUCAUUUCAGGGUUUUGCUUACAGUGUUUUAUUGCUGCAGUGGGCUGAAUUAAAUUCCAGCAUCCAUAAUGUGUGGUUUGUAAUGUAAGGGAAAGCAAGUACACUACACUUGUGAGAUAUAACAGGCAUAUUUAAGCAUUUUGAUUUUAAACAUUCAGUCUUUCAUUGGCUAGCUUGAAAAGAGGUUACAGAACUUAUCAUUUCAUACAGAGACUAAGUUUAGAAGUUGAAAGCAUGUUAUAGCUUAUCAUAUGUAAUACUUCUCAAAUACUAUGCCAGUAAGCUUGGUUUAAAAACAUAAUAGAACAGAUUCUUAGCAGGAUAAGGUAGCUACAAAUACAGUAGCACAGCUGCAGUAUUCUUGAACGAGCAACAUAGCAACAUACAUAAAUGUCACAAGUUAGUUUGGUUGCGAAGCUUCGCAGCAUUCUUCAAACUGUGAUUACAGUGCAACAAAGGAUGCUGUACUCUCCAGACAAGACUGGGUGAUGCAGUGGUGAUGCAGUGCAUUUACAUCUGGGAAAGUUAUAAAGUACAGAGCAUAAGGAUUUUGGAUCCUCUUACUGCUAAGUUAUUAGGAUGUCAACCAGUUAAAC